Molecule: ribosomal RNA, 492 nt
Filed under: uncultured bacterium
Lineage: Bacteria
Description: partial 16S ribosomal RNA
Rfam family: Bacterial small subunit ribosomal RNA
Source: RNAcentral
AGUGAGCGCUGGCGGUAGGCCUAACACAUGCAAGUCGAACGGCAGCACAGUAAGAGCUUGCUCUUACGGGUGGCGAGUGGCGGACGGGUGAGGAAUACAUCGGAAUCUACUUUUUCGUGGGGGAUAACGUAGGGAAACUUACGCUAAUACCGCAUACGACCUACGGGUGAAAGCAGUGGAUCUUCGGACCUUGCGCGAUUGAAUGAGCCGAUGUCGGAUUAGCUAGUUGGCGGGGUAAAGGCCCACCAAGGCGACGAUCCGUAGCUGGUCUGAGAGGAUGAUCAGCCACACUGGAACUGAGACACGGUCCAGACUCCUACGGGAGGCAGCAGUGGGGAAUAUUGGACAAUGGGCGCAAGCCUGAUCCAGCCAUACCGCGUGGGUGAAGAAGGCCUUCGGGUUGUAAAGCCCUUUUGUUGGGAAAGAAAAGCAGCAGGUUAAUACCCCGCUGUUCUGACGGUACCCAAAGAAUAAGCACCGGCUAACUUCGUG